CCUACGGGUGGCAGCAGUGAGGAAUAUUGGUCAAUGGACGAGAGUCUGAACCAGCCAAGUAGCGUGAAGGAUGACUGCCCUAUGGGUUGUAAACUUCUUUUAUAUGGGAAUAAAAUGUUCCACGUGUGGGAUUUUGUAUGUACCAUAUGAAUAAGGAUCGGCUAACUCCGUGCCAGCAGCCGCGGUAAUACGGAGGAUCCGAGCGUUAUCCGGAUUUAUUGGGUUUAAGGGAGCGUAGGGGGAUUGUUAAGUCAGUUGUGAAAGUUUGCGGCUCAACCGUAAAAUUGCAGUUGACACUGGCAGUCUUGAGUACAGUAGAGGUGUGCGGAAUUCGUGGUGUAGCGGUGAAAUGCUUAGAUAUCACGAAGAACUCCGAUUGCGAAGGCAGUUCACUGGACUGCAACUGACACUGAGGCUCGAAAGUGUGGGUAUCAAACAGGAUUAGAUACCCCAGUAGUC
This 459-nucleotide ribosomal RNA is filed under the name uncultured bacterium. RNAcentral describes it as "partial 16S ribosomal RNA". It matches the Rfam family "Bacterial small subunit ribosomal RNA", at positions 338 to 795 of the family's 1533-position model. The record is from RNAcentral.